GCCGAAAUAGCUCAGUUGGGAGAGCAUUAGACUGAAAAUCUAAAGGUCCCUGGCUCUAUCUCAGGUUUCAGCA
This 73-nucleotide transfer RNA is filed under the name Loxodonta africana (African savanna elephant). RNAcentral's name for it is "tRNA-Phe (GAA) (tRNA-Phe-GAA-13-1)". It matches the Rfam family "tRNA". Rfam says of the family: Transfer RNA (tRNA) molecules are approximately 80 nucleotides in length. Lineage: Eukaryota; Metazoa; Chordata; Mammalia; Proboscidea; Elephantidae. The record is from Rfam by way of RNAcentral.